This 369-nucleotide ribosomal RNA is filed under the name uncultured Nitrososphaerota archaeon. RNAcentral describes it as "bacterial SSU rRNA". It matches the Rfam family "Archaeal small subunit ribosomal RNA", at positions 340 to 711 of the family's 1478-position model. Lineage: Archaea; Thermoproteati; Nitrososphaerota. The record is from RNAcentral.
CGAGAAAACUUUAGCAAUAGUGCGAAAGACACGACAAGGUUAAUCCGAGUGGUUUCUGCUAAAGGAACCUUUUGCCAGUCCUAGAAACACUGAUGAAUAAGGGGUGGGCAAGUUCUGGUGUCAGCCGCCGCGGUAAAACCAGCACCUCAAGUGGUCAGGAGGAUUAUUGGGCCUAAAGCAUCCGUAGCCUGCUUUGUAAGUUUUCGGUAAAUCCAUAUGCUCAACAUAUGGGCUGCCGGGAAUACUGCACAGCUAGGGAGUGGGAGAGGUAGACGGUACUCGGUAGGAAGGGUAAAUCCUUGAUCUAUUGAUGACCACCUGUGGCGAAGGCGGUCUACCAGAACACGUCCGACGGUGAGGGAUGAAAGC